This 72-nucleotide transfer RNA is filed under the name Camelus bactrianus (Bactrian camel). It matches the Rfam family "tRNA". Rfam says of the family: Transfer RNA (tRNA) molecules are approximately 80 nucleotides in length. Their secondary structure includes four short double-helical elements and three loops (D, anti-codon, and T loops). The record is from Rfam by way of RNAcentral. Lineage: Eukaryota; Metazoa; Chordata; Mammalia; Artiodactyla; Camelidae. RNAcentral also lists the same sequence under 2 other names.
GAGGGUACAGCUCAGUGGCAGAGUGUGUGUUUAGCAUGCACAAGGUCCUAGGUUCAAUCCCCAGUACCUCCA